UGGCGUAUGGAAGGCGGAGUCCUCCGAGUGCGACCGACGGUACAAGUCCCCAUGAGAGGGGCAUCUUACCCUGAGCGGGUGCUAGGCCCGUACCGCCGUCGGUCAGCGCGCGGAGUUGCCGUUCUCCCGGGAGUCGGGUUGCUUGGGAGUGCAGCCCUAAGUGGGUGGUAAACUCCACCUAAAGCUAAAUAAGACCGAGAGACCGAUAGCGAACAAGUACCGUGAGGGAAAGUUGAAAAGCACUUUGAAGAGAGAGUUCAAGAGUACGUGAAACCGUUCAGAGGUAAACGGGUGGGACCUCGAAGUCCGAAGGCGGUGGUGGAUUCAGUCGGUAUCGGGGCUCGCCCUCGCGCACGUCACCCCACGACGGGGCCGUCGCGCGGGGGAAGGUGUCUCGGUUCCGGUGCACUUCCACACCCCGUCCAGUAGGGCGUCGCGACCGGUUGGGAGGCUGUCGUAAGGGCGGACGCGAAAGGUGGCCGCAUUUCCCUCGGGAUCUGCGGUGUUACAGGCGGUCCAGCUCUGACGGGUCGCCCGACCGGGGUCGAGUUCAUCUCUGUUGCGUUCCCUUCCUGACGGAAGCGUUGCUCGGGUCGAGCUUUCGGCGGAACGGCGUGCCACCAUCAAAGGUGAGCGCCUUUCGAAGGAGGUUUCUGUCUCGAACCGACGCGGGGAGCCGGAGGUCGCGGCGAGUAGGUCGGUUACCCACCCGACCCGUCUUGAAACACGGACCAAGGAGUCUAGAGCGUGUGCGAGUCACAGGGACUUGAAUAGGCCUGUGGACGCAAUGAAAGUGAAGGGCGGCUUUACGCCGUCCGAGUUGGGAUCCGUCCCCUCGGGGGCGGCGCACCAACGGCCCGUCCGAU
Molecule: ribosomal RNA, 866 nt
Filed under: Fissilicreagris sp. UAIC<USA-AZ> 1113006
Lineage: Eukaryota; Metazoa; Arthropoda; Arachnida; Pseudoscorpiones; Neobisiidae
Description: LSU rRNA
Rfam family: Eukaryotic large subunit ribosomal RNA
Source: RNAcentral